AGCAGACUUUGAGCGUGAAUCCUCAAGCAUUUCACGAAGGCAACAAGCGAGAAGAUAGAAACGCUUUCUGAGCAGAAGAUGAAGCUGUCCGUGAUGUUGUUGGUGACUUCGCUUGCAGCUUGCCUGGCUGGUGCACAGCGGUAUCCUCAGUACGCGAGGCCUAACGUCACUGCGGUAGUUAACCGCAGUGACGACGCCGGUGUGGUCCGCACGAUACACACCAGCAAAGACGGCCGCACUCGCCUGGAGCUGCGCAAGACGUACGACGCGCCCUCCGACGAGAAACCCAAGUUCUCUGGUUUUCGGUUCUCGCAUCGAUUCUGAGGGACUCCGAACUGAUGUCUGUCCUCACGCGAACAACGAUUUUCGUCAUUCUCUCUAGGUCCCUCGCAGAGUUUCCACAGAACAACUUCAUAUCCAGUUCUUUAUGAUGUCGAUCUAUUGUUGUAAAUUCAAAAUGGGAUUGUAUUUUCUUUUCCAUAUUUUUACUCUGUGUCUGUUCCAAUAACGAUAAGCUUUCCACACCGAUUCUCGAACCAGCGACAUCUGUAUCAGUAUCUCAGCUUCUACUUUCUUAUCAUUUUUGCUAUCUGCCGAAGUGUGUAAAAACUAGCAAGCAAUGCUGUGUACGCCAGUACUUCUUCCAACGGUCGACUUUGGCUCUAACUAAUAUUCAGCAAUUAGGAAUAACCAACAUAUGUUCUUUUCUUCACAUUUUAACUUAAACGCGAACUUCAUAUCAAUGUAAUUUACACUGUCUGCACUGGUACUGCAGCUAUGUUGUACGGUACCUGGCAUCACUUACACUCUGCAGCAUGUAUAGCAGACUGUAAGUUACGAACUUAUUCAACAUUUCUAAACUGGUAGAGA
Schistocerca cancellata (South American locust) is the source of this 870-nucleotide long non-coding RNA. RefSeq lists it as uncharacterized. Lineage: Eukaryota; Metazoa; Arthropoda; Insecta; Orthoptera; Acrididae. The transcript has 3 exons. The record is from RefSeq and is a predicted model, not a curated record.